Oryzias latipes (Japanese medaka) is the source of this 1078-nucleotide non-coding RNA. The record is from RefSeq and is a predicted model, not a curated record. Lineage: Eukaryota; Metazoa; Chordata; Actinopteri; Beloniformes; Adrianichthyidae.
UUUUUCCAGAUAUCCCAGAUAUUGUGGACGCCACUACUCCAGCGGUGGUGUCCGUAUCCGGUUUCCGGAGACCUCUAUUCUUCAGGAGGAAGACGCUUGGCACAGGAUUUAUAAUCAGUGAUGACGGUGAUGUAAUCACCAAUGCCCAAGUCGUCCGGGGACCUGCAGAGUGCAGGUGGAGCUUGAAAGUAAACAGAAAUUUGAAGCCACCAUCAAACGUGUGGAUGAGGAGGCCAACAUCGCCCUCAUCCACAUUAAAACAUCUGUGAGAAUAUGAAGCUGCCCAUCCCGCAACUCUGCAGCUCCCCAGCUGUGCGGCCAGGCCAAGCAGUCCUGUCAUUGGGCAACCCUCCCUGCAUUGAUGUCACCAUGGGGAUAGUGAGGGGGAGACGGUCCCUCAGACAAAACAUAUUACAGCACAGGGCCUUCACUACCGUGAGCUCCCACUGUGGUUUGGUCAGUGUGUCUGUGAGGAUCGUUCAGAACUUACUCACUGCAGCUUCUCCCUCUUUUCUUUUAGGAAGAAUUCUCGGGGGGGCCGCUGGUAAAUAUGAUGAGUGAUGUUUAUCUGAGCAGAAGCUGGAUUCUGACAUUCAGAGCAUGACACUGAUUAGUCAUUAAGAAUCGUAAAGGAAACAGGAAACCCUGUCGGUGCAGACGUGUCACUUCCUGUAUGUAUGUGCAGUGAAGGUCAAUCCAAACUGUCAUCUGUACAAUGAAGAUGACUGGGUUCUACUCACUCACUGGUUUAACUAAAUGGGUCCAGGUCAUUUUUUUUUUCAGAACCAAAUUGCUUUUUUAUGUCCUUCUGUAGUUCUGGACUGAAAGACCAGAUUGUUUUAGCGCGCACAUCGUACCUGAUGAAAAUGAAUUUUGGUCACAGUGAACAACCCAUGGUCAUGGAUUGAUGGCCACGUUCAAAUGCACACUGAUGGCAGGGAUUGACCACACACGGAUGUGUGAACGUAAAGCCCACAGAGACUCUGAUCUUAUUCCUGACCCUUCUUCUGUUGCCUAAUAACAUUCUUUUUUCUGUCGUAUGGCUAUGCAGGACGGGGAGGUGAUUGGAGUGAACAAG